AUGGAGGACUAUUAUGGUAUAUUGCAAUUAUCAAGGUAUAUUUUUGUCGCUCACUUCCGUUCUUUGGAUGCUGUUAUGUUUGUAAUUACUCCUCAGCCUUGGAGCAUGGGUUCGGAUAACUUUCUGCUUAAAUUAUGGGUACUGCUAUUAUUAAGGCACCGCUUUGACUUUCUGCUUGAAUAUACCUUGAUAAUAGCUGUACCCACAAUUCAAAGAUAUAUAUGUGUGUGCUCUCAGUUGGCACCUCGCUGCUACGACCAGUUACUUGAGAUUGCAGAAGCCAGCGCCAGCCCGGAUGGUCACCUCGAUGUACCCAUAAUUCAAAGGUAUAUUCAAGCAGAAAGUCAAAGUGGUGCCUUUAUGGGUACAGUGCUGCUGCCAAUCACAGUUAAUCCAGAGACAGCCGUUGUUCGGAGCGACAACACGAGAGUAGCACAAGUUGAAACAUUGCAGGCUCUAGGACAGUAG
This 468-nucleotide ribosomal RNA is filed under the name Triticum aestivum (bread wheat). Its description in RNAcentral is "partial small subunit ribosomal RNA". The record is from RNAcentral. Lineage: Eukaryota; Viridiplantae; Streptophyta; Magnoliopsida; Poales; Poaceae.